AUUUAUACGUUGAAGAGAAGAGUAGCUAAAACGAGCAGUUUCAGAGAGUCCGGCCGGUGGGAAAGGACAUUGCGCAAUUUAGUGAAGAUGAGCUCUGAGUAUUUCAAAUGGUUUACGCUAUUUGAACGAAAAGCAAUCGUUAAUUUGCCGGGUAUCAACAGGUACCGUUGAGAUAUUAUUCGUGAGAAUAAUAUGAAUAAGGGUGGUAACGCGAAAAGUCUUCGUCCCUUUG
RNAcentral lists this non-coding RNA (232 nucleotides) under Enterococcus dispar. Its description in RNAcentral is "T-box sequence". It matches the Rfam family "T-box leader". From Rfam's summary of the family: Uncharged tRNA acts as the effector for transcription antitermination of genes in the T-box leader family. T-boxes are found upstream of many aminoacyl-tRNA synthetase genes and some amino acid biosynthetic genes usually in Gram-positive bacteria. Lineage: Bacteria; Bacillati; Bacillota; Bacilli; Lactobacillales; Enterococcaceae. The record is from RNAcentral.